RNAcentral lists this ribosomal RNA (513 nucleotides) under uncultured bacterium. RNAcentral's name for it is "partial 16S ribosomal RNA". It matches the Rfam family "Bacterial small subunit ribosomal RNA", at positions 28 to 523 of the family's 1533-position model. The record is from RNAcentral.
GACGAACGCUGGCGGCAUGCCUAAUACAUGCAAGUCGAGCGAACAGAUGAAGUGCUUGCACUUCUGACGUUAGCGGCGAACGGGUGAGUAACACGUAAGGAAUCUACCUAUAAGCGGGGGAUAACAUUCGGAAACGGGUGCUAAUACCGCAUAAUAUCUUCUUCCGCAUGGAAGAAGAUUGAAAGACGGCUCUGCUGUCACUUAUAGAUGACCUUGCGGUGCAUUAGUUAGUUGGUGGGGUAAUCGCCUACCAAGACGAUGAUGCAUAGCCGACCUGGGAGGGUGAUCGGCCACAUUGGGCCUGAGACACGGCCCAAACUCCUACGGGAGGCAGCAGUAGGGAAUCUUCCGCAAUGGGCGAAAGCCUGACGGAGCAAUGCCGCGUGAGUGAAGAAGGCCUUCGGGUCGUAAAACUCUGUUAUAAGAGAAGAACAAAUUGUAGAGUAACUGCUACAGUCUUGACGGUAUCUUAUCAGAAAGCCACGGCUAACUACGUGCCAGCCGCCGCAGUAA